RNAcentral lists this long non-coding RNA (5584 nucleotides) under Anas platyrhynchos (mallard). RNAcentral's name for it is "lncRNA (ENSAPLG00020006309.1)". The record is from RNAcentral. Lineage: Eukaryota; Metazoa; Chordata; Aves; Anseriformes; Anatidae.
GUCCCGGUAAAAGCUGACACUGUAGCUAAUUCUUUUAAUUAGGUUGUCCCAUCUUGGGUCAGUGGGCUAGACGGCUUUGAAGUUUGCUUUGCCUAAUUGCACAUGAGUGUUUUGGACAGAAAGCCUGCUGUUAGUGGGCUGGGAGGGCUCGAGGAGGGUUCAGGCAAGUGUCUGCCCAACCGCUCCACCUGUAGGAAGGUGGAGGAAAAUCCUUGGGGCUUCUCAAAAGGCUGAAAUCCUUCGGGUUUUUUUUUUUUUUUUUUUUUUUUUUUUUUUUUUUUUUUUUUUUUUUUUUCCAGGAAGGGCUUGUUGUGGCUAUUGCACAGCUGGGCAGGCCUUCCUGUGUACUUCUUCUUUCCUCUGACUGAUGCCAGCCAGUAGCCACGGCUGGCUGGUAGCUACUGCAUCUGCACCGACUUGAGUGGCCCCUCUUGAUGGAGAGGUUGAUAGACUCUGAGGACAGGAAGGAGAAACCUGCAGAGUCAUCACGUUCUGCAGCAGCUGAAGCCACAACUGCCUGCAAGACACAGAAGAGUGGAGUUGGGGGGGUUGACUUCCUGAAGCAGCCUUGCCGGUGCUGUGGAGAGCAAGAGAAAUCACAGGGAGUCACUCCACAGGCUGCACGUGGACGUCUCAGGAAUGGAAGAGGGAAAAGCGCAGAAACUGUCUGUGGGAGAAGUUGCAUUCCGUACCCUGAACCUCCACGAUGCAAAGUUUUUUCUGCCUCCCUCCGAGUUAUUUUGCUGUCUUGACGUAUAUCUAACUCCCAAGGAAAAGACCUUGCUGACUCAGCCUGGAUCCUUUUAUGUUGAGUCACCCCCUUCUGCUUCCAAAUUAAAAGGCCAAUAAUUGCCUGUUUGUGAAGAUUCAGACAAUUGCUGCCUUAUACCCUCAGCGUGAGCCACGAGGAAUUCCUCCUCUAGUACAUGAAAAGAUGAGCUCAAGUGAGAUGGUUGUUGGAGACUAAGCUGUUGGAUAAGCUGCUCUGCCCUCCCCAAGUGGAACCAGGGCUCUGGAUAUCUGGAUCUGCCAGAGCACGAUAAACCUUGCAGGGGUGCUGCAUUCUGAAGCAAAGACUGCUCGUGCCAGAUCUCAGCUGCAGUUAAGAGCAGGAAUGCAUCUAACAUCAGGCACAGGACAACCCGGUCCUCUCCUCUGCAAGCUCUCUGUGUCUCAUGUCCUCUCCAACGGGUGCUUACCCCAUUUGCCAUUCUCAGCUCCAAGUGCUAGGGCUGCCCCCGCGCUGUGUUGUAGCCCCAGACAAAUCUGCUCCCCCUAGCAGCAGCUGCGCCCCCCAGAUGUGGAUGACUGAACAGUGCUUCCCCUUCCCAGGGCUCUGCCUGCCCUUCCCGUGGUCUCAGGCCUUCUGCUGUGAUUGCUUCUGCCUGCUAAAGCUCGAUUCCCAUUGCUUUUACUCUUGUCAACCAAGAUUUAUUAUUCUCAAGAGACAUUAAUGCAGAACGUGAAUCCCUUCAUACAACCCCUUGACGUCUUUUGGCUGCUACCUUGCCCUGGGGCAGGUACAAUCUACAGGUACUGGGGCAGGUACAUCCACAGUAUGAGGUGGGAGGAAGGAGAUGCUUAAGACAGUGAGCAAAGAAGAGUUCCCUUCAGAAAGUCAGGGUGCAGCAAGUCAGGGGCCUUGCCAGCCAGGGGCCCUCUCCCACAGCCCCAGGUGAAGCAAGCAGGGCAGGCCUGGGAGCAGCAGCAGGCUUCACCCAGGAGCCCAGAUCAUCAGAGAUGUUUGUGGUGACAAGAGAGCUCCAAGCCCAAGAGAGAAAGUCCAUCCACAGGUCAGGAUCAGGAAUGGUAAGGGCAACCAGUGUCAGGCACCAUCCAACAAUCAGGCAGGCAGCAAGGAGGCAGACCUGAAGUCAAGCAAGGAAAUCAGUCUGUGGGUCGAGAUUAACAAGAUUAAUGGCCAGGCACAAGCAUGGCAUGGGUGGGCUGGAGGCAGGAACUGCUAACAGCAGAACUCACGUGGGGACUGAAGAGCCAGAGCUGAGCAAACGUGGGGCUCCUGGGCCAUGGGCAGAGGAUGGAGGCUCCAGGUGAGACUGGUUAGAGCAGUAAGUGGUGUUAGCGCUCUCAGGGACCUCACAGACAUGUGCUGUUCCUGUCUCUGGUUUCUUGGUGGGCUUGAACAAAUCCUCCCUUGUGUUUCCCACCUUACCUGAGUUUCAACUGGAAGAAACACCAGUACUAUCUUCUUCUCUGAAGCUUCAAAUCAGUAGAAAGGCGCAGAAAACACAGUUAUUUUUCAGUAUACUUGUAAGUACAAGCUGUGCACCUAUUGUGGAGCUGGGAGUCACAAGGGCUCCUCCACGCAAGUAUCUUUUUACUGUUCACGUGAGUAAAUUCUCAUAUUUUCCUCUAACAAGCUUCUGAGUAUUUCCGGCAGAAUUCCUGGGAGAUUAAACAUCAUAUAAAAUGUAUUUGUCUCACGCAAGAUCUGACUUGCUUUUGAACCAUCAGCAAUCAUCCCCGCAGUUGCUGGGGUGUAGAACUAUAUUUUUUAUUGUUAUUACUACUUUUCUACUUUCUGUCCUGGAUCUUGUAAGAUACCUGUCCUAUCUCUAAUUAUGCUAACGAGGUCCUGAGGUUGAUUUAGAGGCUCUGUUAUAAUGCCAGCCUCUCAGUUUACAUCUCAAGUAUCGGCAUGUUUAUUGCAGAUGUCUGUUAGGAGCAGCUACUUUUUCUGUGCUUGUGUGCAGAGCGAGAGACAGAGCUGGAGGGGAGUGGUACGAAAUAACCCACAGAAAUGAGAAAAAGCAGCUAUCUCUGCCAUAUCUGCAUCUGACUUCUCUGCGGGGCACGGAGCCUUGCCUGUAGCUUCUUUUGGACGUAUAACAUUUAGUUUCAUAUGUUCUUUCCCCAAAUACAAAACAAAUUGACUCAUGAAAGAACAGUUCAUUCCUGAGGGCCAGCACCCUGUUCGGUAUGUUGAUAACUUUCCAGAGCUGAUGUGUGUAUUAGUCACCCUUGCUGGUUCACUGCUGAUCUGAAAGACAGAGGUUAAAUAAUUGCGAAAGCGAGGUUGAUGUCAUCGUGGCACCUGACUGAAGCUGGUACUUGGGAACUGGCGAAAGAGAUGCAUUCGCUUUGCUUUCACCCAGGAAAGGGCUCGCACUGAGCAGUGGUUCUCCCCCUUCCCUGAGACGUGCCAUCCAUUCCCAAACCACACACGGGUGAGCAUCAGGCAGAGGUGACCUGCAGACAAUGAGCCCUCUCACUGCAGUCCUUUUUUUCUCUUAUUUUUCCUGACCCGAAGUGGAUCCUGGAGGUUUUUCUAAAUCAGAUGCACGUGUGCACAUUUCCAAGGGCCUCCCUCGUGUCCCUGCACCGUGCACGUAUACCCCAGCACGUAAGUCAGGAUCUGUUUUGUGUGUAUAAGUAGACAGGUGUGUUGCACAGGCCUGUUUUACUGACAAUAUUGUGUAUAUCAUACACAAGCUAUCAUAUAUCGUACGGGCUUGUAUGGGACUAUGGGCCUUUUCUGCUUGUUUUUUAACACCGAGACUACGACUUGGCGCUGUGUGAGACAUUAAAAAAUAAAGACAGGCCCCGUGCUAAAGAGUUUGUACUCUAAAUGUCAGACGGAGAAAAGACAGGAUGCACUGUGGUGAGGAAGAUUUCUGAUGUGUUUGUAAUUUAAAUAGGAAAAAAAACUAAACUUGUUUCACAGGAAAAGAGCGCGUGCAUGUUUGUUUUUCAGAGGAGUUUAGAGAAGAACAAGCAACAGUUUUGUGACAGUUUGCUGGUGGAGUGGUUUCUCUUAACACCUGCGCAGAGGCUCGGGAGAAGGAAAUGGGGCUGUGUGGUCUGCGCCUGCUGUUCCCCUGCCCCGUGAGUGAGAUUCAGCUGUGACCUGUGAGGGUGCAGCCUGGAGCUGGCCCGGCCUUCAUUGGCACACGUGCCAGUCCUUUGCUCCCUCAGCUCUUCCCUUUGGCUCCAUUGCAUUUGUCUGCCCCUGUGUCUAGCUCCUAUCCUGCAUUGUGCUUUCUGCUUUUAAUGAGAAGGGUCAGGCAGCAAAGCAAAACUUCCAUGCUGUGAUCACAGGAGAGGAGCUAGUUAUUUGUGUCCCAUGUGAGGCCAUGAAAACAGGAGCCUUGCAGCAGGGCUCUGCAGCAUCCACAGCACCUUUGCUGCUGCCAGCUGACUUUCUGUAGCACAAGCCCCUUGCAAUGUUGUUCUGCAUCAUGCCAGUGAUGGGCAGGCCAGAGAAGUUAGGAAUGAGUGCAAGGGGUACAUCUUAUCCUUUUUUGGGGAGCGUGGUUUUCCAGGUCUAAAUCUCCUUAAUCUCUGUGUCGUCAGCAUUUUUAUUAUACAUGUACGUAUUUGUAUUUUAAGAAAAUGAAGCGCUGGGUGUGGAUAUGUGCUAAUACUAAAUAGAAGACAUAACCAUACGAAGCUCCCUAAAGCCUUAUAUUAAAAUACCAGCAGCGCUUGACUCCAAAGCACCGGGCUGAAGAGGUAUGUGGAGAAGCCUUGGUCCACUUUGCUGCUAAAGACAGAAACUUCUCAUGGGCUCAUUUCAGAGCAGUAGGGCACACAGCUGUAAGCAGGAAGGUUCUGUGGGUCAUACCGUCUUAAUGACACACUGACACAGCUGGAGAGCUCCUUGUGACACUGCGAGGUUUCAAUUCCACACCAGGGAGCUGCCUCGAGGUGCUGGAGCCUGUUAGGUGCCUGAAUUCCCAUAGUGGUGUCAAGAGAGCUAAGCUGCAGAUCCCAGCUCAUCCAAACCAUCUUCAUCUUGGCGUUUUCUCUGGUUUUACUGCAGAGAGAGACUCGGUUUCCCUGGCUUAAACUUACAGUGUGUCCAGAGGAAGUGUGAACAGCACAGGGGCAGUUUCUGUGGCCCUGUGAACUCAGAAUUCAGCGCAGCUCCCCAGAGCGAUGUGUGUAUGUAAGGACUCCACACCAAGCACACUACAAUUCAAUAGCAAUUGCAGCAACGACGUUCGUAGCACUUGCAAAAGGAAGCAACUGCUGACCACUUAGCAAAAUAAAAUAAAAUACACCACCAAACCCCCAAAGGGCACCUGGGUGGAAGACAGAAGCAGUGCAGCGAUAAAGCAGAGCACAGGGCAGCCCUCCUGACCCUCUGGUACCGGCCGCUUCCAGGUGCCUGCAGCAAGCACACGGCUCAGGGCUGGUGCAGCAGGGAGCACACAUCUCCAAGAUGGGGCCAGCAGCUGGUGGAAGCAGCUGUGUCCUGGGCAGCUCACAGCAGAGUUAGGGAGGUGGAAUUAAACCAUCCUUGCCUGUCUCCAGGUUUAGCCACAUUUUCACUCUUCGCUCAUUACCGACAACCAAAGCAUGCUUUGGAGCUUAGACUGGCUAAAAUACAGAGCUGGGCUGACCACAGACUUCUUCUACAUCCAAGGAUGGAUGAUCACCCAUGUGGGAAACAGCUAUGUGAUUAAGGGAAGAAUCCCCUUUUUGGAGGGCCAAUUUAAAGAAAUGUCAUUUCUGUUAGCAAAUGCUGUGGUUUUUUUUUCUUCUUGUUUUCACAUCUGCCACCCCUGAAUAUACAAUUCAAUCCUGUAAAUGUGUUAUUGAAAGGAGUAUUUAUGACCAG